This 107-nucleotide small RNA is filed under the name Marmota monax (woodchuck). Lineage: Eukaryota; Metazoa; Chordata; Mammalia; Rodentia; Sciuridae. The record is from RNAcentral.
GCUGGGCAUGGUGGUGCAUACCUGUAAUCCCAGCUAUUUAGGAGGCUAAGGCAGGAAGAUUGCAAGUUUGAGGCCAGCCUGGGCAAUGUACCAUGAUCCUGUCUCAA